RNAcentral lists this ribosomal RNA (492 nucleotides) under uncultured bacterium. Its description in RNAcentral is "partial 16S ribosomal RNA". It matches the Rfam family "Bacterial small subunit ribosomal RNA", at positions 29 to 507 of the family's 1533-position model. The record is from RNAcentral.
AGUGAACGCUGGCGGUAGGCCUAACACAUGCAAGUCGAACGGCAGCACAGUAAGAGCUUGCUCUUACGGGUGGCGAGUGGCGGACGGGUGAGGAAUACAUCGGAAUCUACUUUUUCGUGGGGGAUAACGUAGGGAAACUUACGCUAAUACCGCAUACGACCUACGGUUGAAAGCAGGGGAUCUUCGGACCUUGCGCGAUUGAAUGAGCCGAUGUUGGAUUAGCUAGUUGGCGGGGUAAAGGCCCACCAAGGCGACGAUCCGUAGCUGGUCUGAGAGGAUGAUCAGACACACUGGAACUGAGACACGGUCCAGAAUCCUACGGGAGGCAGCAGUGGGGAAUAUUGGACAAUGGGCGCAAGACUGAUCCAGCCAUACCGCGUGGGUGAAGAAGGCAUUCGGGUUGUAAAGCCCUUUUGUUGGGAAAGAAAAGCAGCAGGUUAAUACCCCGCUGUUCUGACGGUACCCAAAGAAUAAGCACCGGCUAACUUCGUG